AGAGUUUGAUCCUGGCUCAGGAUGAACGCCGGCGGUGUGCCUAAUACAUGCAAGUCGAACGCGUUGGCCCAACUGAUUGAACGUGCUUGCACGGACUUGACGUUGGUUUACCAGCGAGUGGCGGACGGGUGAGUAACACGUAGGUAACCUGCCCCAAAGCGGGGGAUAACAUUUGGAAACAGAUGCUAAUACCGCAUAACAAUUUGAAUCGCAUGAUUCAAAUUUGAAAGAUGGCUUCGGCUAUCACUUUGGGAUGGACCUGCGGCGCAUUAGCUUGUUGGUAGGGUAACGGCCUACCAAGGCUGUGAUGCGUAGCCGAGUUGAGAGACUGAUCGGCCACAAUGGAACUGAGACACGGUCCAUACUCCUACGGGAGGCAGCAGUAGGGAAUCUUCCACAAUGGGCGCAAGCCUGAUGGAGCAACACCGCGUGAGUGAAGAAGGGUUUCGGCUCGUAAAGCUCUGUUGUUAGAGAAGAACGUGCGUGAGAGCAACUGUUCACGCAGUGACGGUAUCUAACCAGAAAGUCACGGCUAACUACGUGCCAGCAGCCGCGGUAAUACGUAGGUGGCAAGCGUUAUCCGGAUUUAUUGGGCGUAAAGCGAGCGCAGGCGGUUUGAUAAGUCUGAUGUGAAAGCCUUUGGCUUAACCAAAGAAGUGCAUCGGAAACUGUCAGACUUGAGUGCAGAAGAGGACAGUGGAACUCCAUGUGUAGCGGUGGAAUGCGUAGAUAUAUGGAAGAACACCAGUGGCGAAGGCGGCUGUCUGGUCUGCAACUGACGCUGAGGCUCGAAAGCAUGGGUAGCGAACAGGAUUAGAUACCCUGGUAGUCCAUGCCGUAAACGAUGAGUGCUAGGUGUUGGAGGGUUUCCGCCCUUCAGUGCCGCAGCU
RNAcentral lists this ribosomal RNA (890 nucleotides) under uncultured bacterium. Its description in RNAcentral is "bacterial SSU rRNA". It matches the Rfam family "Bacterial small subunit ribosomal RNA", at positions 8 to 853 of the family's 1533-position model. The record is from RNAcentral.